Molecule: small nuclear RNA, 120 nt
Organism: Apteryx haastii (Great spotted kiwi)
Lineage: Eukaryota; Metazoa; Chordata; Aves; Apterygiformes; Apterygidae
Gene: U5
Rfam family: U5 spliceosomal RNA
About the family: U5 RNA is a component of both types of known spliceosome.
Source: Ensembl
GUACUCUGCUUUCUCUUCAUUUCUUACAAAUUUUUCACCUUUUACCAAAGAUUUCAGUGGAGAAGGACUUUUCUCACUGUCAACCCAAGCAAUUUUAACCUUUACUUUGGCAAAGUAGAA